GUGGACGAACCUCUGGUGUUCCGGUUGUCACGCCAGUGGCAUUGCCGGGUAGCUAUGUUCGGAAAAGAUAACCGCUGAAAGCAUCUAAGCGGGAAACUUGCCUCAAGAUGAGAUCUCACUGGGAACUCGAUUCCCCUGAAGGGCCGUCGAAGACUACGACGUUGAUAGGCUGGGUGUGUAAGCGUUGUGAGGCGUUGAGCUAACCAGUACUAAUUGCCCGUGAGGCUUGACCAUAUAACACCCAAACA
This 248-nucleotide ribosomal RNA is filed under the name Pseudomonas aeruginosa. RNAcentral's name for it is "partial 23S ribosomal RNA". It matches the Rfam family "Bacterial large subunit ribosomal RNA", at positions 2697 to 2925 of the family's 2925-position model. The record is from RNAcentral. Lineage: Bacteria; Pseudomonadati; Pseudomonadota; Gammaproteobacteria; Pseudomonadales; Pseudomonadaceae.